Long non-coding RNA from Aethalodelphis obliquidens (Pacific white-sided dolphin), 1392 nucleotides. RefSeq lists it as uncharacterized. The record is from RefSeq and is a predicted model, not a curated record. Lineage: Eukaryota; Metazoa; Chordata; Mammalia; Artiodactyla; Delphinidae. The transcript has 3 exons.
GUGGAGGGGUGGUGCUGGAACUGGGGCCGGGACCCGUGGGAGGGGGUAGGGGGGCGCGGCUCCGAAGGCGGCGGGGGUCCCCGGGGCGCUGCGUCCCUCGGAGCCCCGGAGAGCUGCAGGUCGGGUCUUUGUCGCGUUGAGACAAAGCCGCUGAACCUGGGCUGUCGCCUGUGCAGGUGCGCGGCCUCGUUCGCGGGAGGCGUGCGCUGGGGGAGCGGGCUUCCUGCACGAGGUCGCCGCUCAGGGGUUGAUUGGACGGAAUCUCGCGACACCCCAGGCACUGGCGCUUGUGCCGGAUCCACGUGAGAGUUCUCCAGGUUUGCUUUCAUGAGGUUUUGGGGUUUUUUAAUAUUUGGUCGAGUAAUUUGCUGUUUGGCAUCUUGGGCCACCAUCCCAUAGUUACGUAAAAAGUUGCACGUGGAAUUCACUACGUAGAUUUAGAAACUUAAGCUAUUUUAGAACAAGGGACUGCUUUCCUAAUCAUGUAACAGAGCACAUCCUAACCUGAUACCAGGCGGACGCUGUUUGGUGUGGGGAAGGGAGGUCUUACCGUGGUACCUGAGUUCACUCACCUGCCAGCCCCUCCCUGGGUCUGUGAGAACUCCCGGCUGCGGUGUGAGGGACCUGCCUUCCAGCGCUGGCUGCCCAGCGUUUACUCGGUGGUGAGAUCCCGACCCACGCCAUGUCCUGCAUGAGCCGCGGUCACUGAGCGCUUCACCUGGAUUCUCUUAGACUUGUUGAAAGGAGGACUCUUGGAGACUCAAAAAGGCAAAUGUAUUUCCAUGAAUAGAAAUAUAAUCCAACAUAUCUCUUCUGGGCCCAAUUUAGUUUGCAUUAUCAUUUUUUAUUGCGUAGGUUUCUGGCCUUGGUGGGAAACUAGCUGUGCGUGAAGAUGUGCUGAAAUUUCACAUAAGUAUGGGAAAGGUGGUAGAAAUUGAAACGCAGUCAUUUUUUUUUUCCUUCAGAUUUUCACCAUUAAAAUGGUGAAUUAAAUGUUCAUGCUGGUUCAUCCUUUCCCAUGAUGGAGUGUGCACAGAACCCUGAUUUGCAGCUCUGCUGUUUCUGUUUAUUGAAAGCAUCUACCUCACAGGACUGCCAGUACUGGAGCAUUACCCUAACUGGCCAUGAAUACAACUAUUGACAGGACCGAGGAUUAUGGAUUUUUGCAUCUCCAGCUCCGUACGUGGAUUCUGUGAGAUGGUCCCCCAUUUGCCCCGCACCGUUUGGUGAAUGCUCCAUGUUUUCUCCGUCGACAUGAAACGCCUCCCAGGAGAUUCUUGGGCAGACUUCAUGGCUUCUGAGCUGAGCUUGUGGUGACAGUGGUUCCUCUUUGUGAAACCUCUCCAGGCAGGCAGAGACCUCAAACACGCCACUGAGAGCUGCAAACAAGUC